RNAcentral lists this ribosomal RNA (439 nucleotides) under uncultured bacterium. RNAcentral describes it as "partial 16S ribosomal RNA". It matches the Rfam family "Bacterial small subunit ribosomal RNA", at positions 339 to 795 of the family's 1533-position model. The record is from RNAcentral.
CUACGGGACGCUCCAGUGGGGAAUCUUGCGCAAUGGGCGAAAGCCUGACGCAGCAACGCCGCGUGCGGGAAGAAGGCUUUCGGGCUGUAAACCGCUUUCAGUAGGAACGAAACUGACGGUACCUACAGAAGAAGGAGCGGCCAACUAUGUGCCAGCAGCCGCGGUGACACAUAGGCUCCAAGCGUUGUCCGGAUUUAUUGGGCGUAAAGAGCUCGUAGGCGGUCGAGUAAGUCGGGUGUGAAAACUCUGGGCUUAACCCAGAGAUGCCACUCGAUACUGCUGUGACUUGAGUUCGGUAGGGGAGCGGGGAAUUCCUUGUGUAGCGGUGAAAUGCGCAGAUAUGAGGAGGAACACCGGUGGCGAAGGCGCCGCUCUGGGCCGUAACUGACGCUGAGGAGCGAAAGCGUGGUAGCAAACAGGAUUAGAUACCCCAGUAGUC